RNAcentral lists this ribosomal RNA (253 nucleotides) under uncultured bacterium. RNAcentral's name for it is "partial 16S ribosomal RNA". It matches the Rfam family "Bacterial small subunit ribosomal RNA", at positions 524 to 776 of the family's 1533-position model. The record is from RNAcentral.
UACGGAGGGUGCGAGCGUUGUCCGGAAUCACUGGGCGUAAAGGGCGCGUAGGCGGCGCGGGUAGUCAUCGGUGAAAGUUCAGGGCUCAACUCUGAAUCGGCCGGUGAUACUCCCGUGCUCGAGCACUGUAGAGGCAGGUGGAAUUCCGGGUGUAGCGGUGGAAUGCGUAGAGAUCCGGAGGAACACCAGCGGCGAAGGCGGCAUCCUGGACUGGUCCUGACACUCAUGAGCGAAAGCGUGGGGAGCGAUCCGG